GACGAACGCUGGCGGCGUGCCUAAUACAUGCAAGUAGAACGCUGAAGGAGGAGCUUGCUUCUCCGGAUGAGUUGCGAACGGGUGAGUAACGCGUAGGUAACCUGCCUGGUAGCGGGGGAUAACUAUUGGAAACGAUAGCUAAUACCGCAUAAGAGUAGAUGUCGCAUGACAUUUGCUUAAAAGGUGCAACUGCACCACUACCAGAUGGACCUGCGUUGUAUUAGCUAGUUGGUGAGGUAACGGCUCACCAAGGCAACGAUACAUAGCCGACCUGAGAGGGUGAUCGGCCACACUGGGACUGGGGCACCGCCCAGACUCCUACGGGAGGCAGCAGUAGGGGAUCUUCGGCAAUGGACGGAAGUCUGACCGAGCAACGCCGCGUGAGUGAAGAAGGUUUUCGGAUCGUAAAGCUCUGUUGUGAGAGAAGAACGAGUGUGAGAGUGGAAAGUUCACACUGUGACGGUAUCUUACCAGAAAGGGACGGCUAACUACGUG
Molecule: ribosomal RNA, 495 nt
Filed under: uncultured bacterium
Lineage: Bacteria
Description: partial 16S ribosomal RNA
Rfam family: Bacterial small subunit ribosomal RNA
Source: RNAcentral